RNAcentral lists this transfer RNA (73 nucleotides) under Camelus bactrianus (Bactrian camel). It matches the Rfam family "tRNA". From Rfam's summary of the family: Transfer RNA (tRNA) molecules are approximately 80 nucleotides in length. Their secondary structure includes four short double-helical elements and three loops (D, anti-codon, and T loops). RNAcentral also lists the same sequence under 1 other name. The record is from Rfam by way of RNAcentral. Lineage: Eukaryota; Metazoa; Chordata; Mammalia; Artiodactyla; Camelidae.
GAGGGUAUAGCUCAAGUGGCAGAGCACAUGUUUACUAUGCCUGAGGUCCUGGGUUCAAUCCCCAGUACCUCCU